GACGAACGCUGGCGGCGUGCCUAAUACAUGCAAGUCGAGCGAAUGGAAGGGAGCUUGCCCCCUGAAGUUAGCGGCGGACGGGUGAGUAACACGUGGGCAACCUGCCUGUAAGACUGGGAUAACUUCGGGAAACCGGAGCUAAUACCGGAUACGUUCUUUUCUCGCAUGAGGAAAGAUGGAAAGAUGGUUUCGGCUAUCACUUACAGAUGGGCCCGCGGCGCAUUAGCUAGUUGGUGGGGUAAUGGCCCACCAAGGCGACGAUGCGUAGCCGACCUGAGAGGGUGAUCGGCCACACUGGGACUGGGACACGGCCCAGACUCCUACGGGAGGCAGCAGUAGGGAAUCUUCCGCAAUGGACGAAAGUCUGACGGAGCAACGCCGCGUGAGCGAAGAAGGCCUUCGGGUCGUAAAGCUCUGUUGUCAGGGAAGAACAAGUGCCAGAGUAACUGCUGGCACCUUGACGGUACCUGACCAGAAAGCCACGGCUAACUACGUGCCAGCCGCCGCAGUAA
This 512-nucleotide ribosomal RNA is filed under the name uncultured bacterium. RNAcentral's name for it is "partial 16S ribosomal RNA". It matches the Rfam family "Bacterial small subunit ribosomal RNA", at positions 28 to 523 of the family's 1533-position model. The record is from RNAcentral.